GAGCCAGUGCGGUUGCCGAGAGGUUAUGGAGUGAUAAAAGUGUGACAGACGUGGGUAAUGCCUAUAAUCGUCUGGCCCAGCAUCGCUGCCGCAUGGUCAAGAGAGGCAUACCUGCAGAACCUCUAUUUGUUGGCCACUGCCGUCAGGAGUACAUGGGCCUAUGAAAUUCAACAUUCAGCUCACAGUAGACAAUUAAAGGGAAUAAAAGGACAACACUUUUUAAAAGAUAAAACCAUGUUAAUCAUUCCAGUAACUAUGAUUUGCUGUUCUAUGCACUGAGCCAGUUAUUGAUGUUUGCAAAUGGACAAUUCUGUACAUCUCGAUUUCCUCUGUAGGCUUAAAUUUGAUUAAACUGUCAUUACUAUUCUAAAUUUGAAGUUUUUGAAACGA
This is a long non-coding RNA of Sinocyclocheilus grahami, 390 nucleotides long. RefSeq lists it as uncharacterized. NCBI's taxonomy places the organism in Eukaryota, Metazoa, Chordata, Actinopteri, Cypriniformes, Cyprinidae. The record is from RefSeq and is a predicted model, not a curated record. The transcript is spliced from 2 exons.